CUCACACAGCCAAAACGUCAAGCCAAACUUACCAUUUACUGCCGUUACUCAAUUUUUAUGUUACAGUGAGACCAGCAUGCAUGCUAACCCCUAGCUCAUAAAACAAUUUAGCAGGUGUUCGGGUGGUAAGUAACAGCGUGACGAGUAAAGAUACCAUGGCUCACCACUGCAAAAUGACCGGGUGCCCGAAGAGUAAUAUUAAUAUUAAAAUACAACAUUAUCAGAUACUUCAUGUACUUACUGAACAGUGUAACCGUUAAAAGUUGAGAUGUAGCUCUAUCUUCAGCAGACCGAUUGACACGCAGCAGUGCGGUGCUGUACGGUGUAGGGGGGCGACGUUAACACUUGAGGUGUGAAAUACAGGAUCAGAGUUUAGAGUAAGAAUUUCGGAGUUAAUAUUUAAAUAUUUACACUUACAGGUUUGAUUGAGUGACACUUCCUUUUUACACUCGGUAACUCAACUAUUUAUCGACUGAGAGUUAAUUAUAAUGGAUUAACUCUAUCCAGAGUACAAUUAACUCUACUAGUGUAUGUCUAGUUUAACACCAUGAAUUCAACUCUUCUCAAUUUGCUGUGUACCUAUCCGAGGCAGGUACUUUCUGAGCUGCUACCUGAGCCGCUAACUGGUGAAGUCGUGUGGAUCUUGGGUGGAUCCUCUCUCACAAGCCACACCCAUAGCGGCUCACUAGAGGGAAAGGACCUAAUGGAAACGUGUCUUAUGUCACAUCUGGUCAUAACGUCGUCCUCAGGCAGAGGAGUGUCCAGGUGGCACACCACGGCAGACACCUGCAGGUUCCUUUCCUGGCAGAGGCUCCUUUGGCUUGACCUGGCAUUUCAACCAACACACCUGGCAGAGUUAACUAGUGGGAAGCCAGUGAAGGGAUCAUGUCCAAGGUCCUACAUUGGGAGCUCUGGAUGAGGAUUUAUCUGAAUUCCCCUGGAAACUUCUGUGAUCCCUUCAUGUUGCUGCUGCAGCUGUCAGGGAGCAGCUUACAUAUCACUCACAUGUCAUCAUGGGGGCAUGUUUUAUUCUAUACAUGUCAAGGACUGAGAAUAGUUCUGCUCUGAUGCUUGUACCAGCAGCACCAUUUUAAGCCACUAAAGUGUUUCAAAGUCAAAAGCAGGGCAUGUUGAGUACACAUGCACAACUUUUGUGUGUAUGAGGGAGAAAUAAAUACCAAAUCUGGUUGUGAUUAAUGCCACCGCCUUACUGGAUAUGAAUCCUUGAGCACAAAUAUUAUUUCCUUCACUGUGUUCAGUAAACAAUAAAAUGUGAAGCCACAAAAAGCAAUGGUGCGCCAAGGAAAGAAAUCUUUGUUAUCAGCAAACUUCAGAGACAGGAUAAUGAUCAUGGUGAGAAUCUUCUAUGGAAUAA
Centropristis striata (black sea bass) is the source of this 1375-nucleotide long non-coding RNA. RefSeq lists it as uncharacterized. The transcript has 3 exons. Lineage: Eukaryota; Metazoa; Chordata; Actinopteri; Perciformes; Serranidae. The record is from RefSeq and is a predicted model, not a curated record.